AAUUAAAUUAGUAUUUGACUUUUUAAUCCUUAAAGAGAUAAAUUAAUUUACUCUUUAAAAUUUUAUUUCUAAUGGCAUACCUAUGUAAUUACUUACAAAAAUUAAGGUUACAUUUAAAAUGUACUUCCCAAAUAAUAUAGUAGGAUAAAUUGUUUUAUCUAUGAUUUAUGAAUAUCCACAUCAGUUCUGUAAA
This 193-nucleotide small RNA is filed under the name Arabidopsis thaliana (thale cress). RNAcentral describes it as "ATSL289400". The record is from RNAcentral. Lineage: Eukaryota; Viridiplantae; Streptophyta; Magnoliopsida; Brassicales; Brassicaceae.